GUUUGGAAGCUGAAACAAUGAGAGCUGUUUGGAUUUUCUUGGAUGUUUUGCUGCUAUGUUGGCUUACUAAAGGUUCGACUCCAAGUGGCAUUUCUCUGAAAACCCUUGGACUUCUCAAGUCAAUGGAUUCCAUGAUGGAGAAACGUGUUAAAGAAGUACUUCUGGAAACCAAUACAAUGGAUGCUGAGAAAUCAUUUGGCCAGGUGAGACUAGUAGAACUUACCAGUGAGAUGAACUUGAGGUCUGAGGAGGAAAAUCAAAUGAGCACCGGUAAAGGAACUGUGGCUGCCUGGGCCCCUGCUGGCAACAGGACUUUGGCUGAGGCUGCGGCCGCCUGGGCCCCUGCUGGCAACAGGACUGUGGCUGAGGCUGCGGCCGCC
Molecule: long non-coding RNA, 380 nt
Organism: Nematolebias whitei (Rio pearlfish)
Lineage: Eukaryota; Metazoa; Chordata; Actinopteri; Cyprinodontiformes; Rivulidae
Exons: 3
Source: RefSeq, a predicted model, not a curated record